This 1721-nucleotide ribosomal RNA is filed under the name Proteus mirabilis. RNAcentral describes it as "partial 23S ribosomal RNA". It matches the Rfam family "Bacterial large subunit ribosomal RNA", at positions 1223 to 2925 of the family's 2925-position model. Lineage: Bacteria; Pseudomonadati; Pseudomonadota; Gammaproteobacteria; Enterobacterales; Morganellaceae. The record is from RNAcentral.
GUUGGGUAGGGGAGCGUUCUGUAAGCCUGCGAAGGUGUACUGUGAGGUAUGCUGGAGGUAUCAGAAGUGCGAAUGCUGACAUAAGUAACGAUAAUGCGGGUGAAAAACCCGCACGCCGGAAGACCAAGGGUUCCUGUCCAACGUUAAUCGGGGCAGGGUGAGUCGACCCCUAAGGCGAGGCUGAAAAGCGUAGUCGAUGGGAAACGGGUUAAUAUUCCCGUACUGGUGGUAACUGCGAUGGGGGAACGGAGAAGGCUAGGUUGUCCGGGCGACGGUCGUCCCGGUUCAAGCAGGUAGGCAGAGUGAUUAGGCAAAUCCGGUCACUUAAUGCUGAGAUGUGAUGACGAACCACCAAGGUGGUGAAGCAAUUGAUGCCCCGCUUCCAGGAAAAGCCUCUAAGCUUCAGGUUACCAACAAUCGUACCCCAAACCGACACAGGUGGUCAGGUAGAGAAUACUCAGGCGCUUGAGAGAACUCGGGUGAAGGAACUAGGCAAAAUGGUGCCGUAACUUCGGGAGAAGGCACGCUGGCGGUAGGUAAAGUCCCUUGCGGACGGCGCUGAAGCCAGUCGAAGAUACCAGCUGGCUGCAACUGUUUAUUAAAAACACAGCACUGUGCAAACACGAAAGUGGACGUAUACGGUGUGACGCCUGCCCGGUGCUGGAAGGUUAAUUGAUGGGGUUAGCGUAAGCGAAGCUCCUGAUCGAAGCCCCAGUAAACGGCGGCCGUAACUAUAACGGUCCUAAGGUAGCGAAAUUCCUUGUCGGGUAAGUUCCGACCUGCACGAAUGGCGUAAUGAUGGCCAGGCUGUCUCCACCCGAGACUCAGUGAAAUUGAACUCGCUGUGAAGAUGCAGUGUACCCGCGGCAAGACGGAAAGACCCCGUGAACCUUUACUAUAGCUUGACACUGAACAUUGAGCCUUGAUGUGUAGGAUAGGUGGGAGGCUUUGAAGUGUGGACGCCAGUCUGCAUGGAGCCAACCUUGAAAUACCACCCUUUAACGUUUGAUGUUCUAACCUAGGCCCAUAAACUGGGUCGGGGACCGUGUCUGGUGGGUAGUUUGACUGGGGCGGUCUCCUCCUAAAGAGUAACGGAGGAGCACGAAGGUUGGCUAAGCAUGGUCGGACAUCAUGCGGUUAGUGCAAAGGCAUAAGCCAGCUUGACUGCGAGAGUGACGGCUCGAGCAGGUACGAAAGUAGGUCUUAGUGAUCCGGUGGUUCUGAAUGGAAGGGCCAUCGCUCAACGGAUAAAAGGUACUCCGGGGAUAACAGGCUGAUACCGCCCAAGAGUUCAUAUCGACGGCGGUGUUUGGCACCUCGAUGUCGGCUCAUCACAUCCUGGGGCUGAAGUAGGUCCCAAGGGUAUGGCUGUUCGCCAUUUAAAGUGGUACGCGAGCUGGGUUUAGAACGUCGUGAGACAGUUCGGUCCCUAUCUGCCGUGGGCGUUGGAAGAUUGAGAGGGGUUGCUCCUAGUACGAGAGGACCGGAGUGAACGCACCACUGGUGUUCGGGUUGUCAUGCCAAUGGCAUUGCCCGGUAGCUAAGUGCGGAAGAGAUAACCGCUGAAAGCAUCUAAGCGGGAAACUUGCCUCGAGAUGAGUCUUCCCUGUCGCUUUAAGUGACCUAAAGGAACGUUUAAGACUAAGACGUUGAUAGGCUGGGUGUGUAAGCGUAGCGAUACGUUGAGCUAACCAGUACUAAUGAACCGUGAGGCUUAACCU